GACAAUCUUCAGGGCAGGGUGUAAUUCCCUACUGGCGGUAUAGCCCGCGAGCUUUAAAUAAAAAGCAGAUUCGGUGUAACUCCGAGGCCAACAGUAUAGUCUGGAUGAAAGAAGAUAUAU
Molecule: non-coding RNA, 120 nt
Filed under: Clostridium neonatale
Lineage: Bacteria; Bacillati; Bacillota; Clostridia; Eubacteriales; Clostridiaceae
Description: FMN
Rfam family: FMN riboswitch aptamer (RFN element)
About the family: The RFN element is a highly conserved domain that is found frequently in the 5'-untranslated regions of prokaryotic mRNAs that encode for flavin mononucleotide (FMN) biosynthesis and transport proteins. This element is a metabolite-dependent riboswitch that directly binds FMN in the absence of proteins. In Bacillus subtilis, the riboswitch most likely controls gene expression by causing premature transcription termination within the 5' untranslated region of the ribDEAHT operon and precluding access to the ribosome-binding site of ypaA mRNA.
Source: RNAcentral